RNAcentral lists this ribosomal RNA (253 nucleotides) under uncultured bacterium. RNAcentral's name for it is "partial 16S ribosomal RNA". It matches the Rfam family "Bacterial small subunit ribosomal RNA", at positions 524 to 776 of the family's 1533-position model. The record is from RNAcentral.
GACGUAGGGUGCAAGCGUUGUCCGGAUUUAUUGGGCGUAAAGAGCUCGUAGGCGGCUCGUUGCGUCGGCUGUGAAAACCCGCAGCUUAACUGUGGGCCUGCAGCCGAUACGGGCGGGCUGGAGUUCGGUAGGGGAGACUGGAAUUCCUGGUGUAGCGGUGAAAUGCGCAGAUAUCAGGAGGAACACCGGUGGCGAAGGCGGGUCUCUAGUACGGUACUGACGCUGAGACGCGAAAGCGUGGGGAGCGAACAGG